RNAcentral lists this long non-coding RNA (2027 nucleotides) under Nicotiana benthamiana. RNAcentral's name for it is "long non-coding RNA (NBEN_LNC034973)". The record is from RNAcentral. Lineage: Eukaryota; Viridiplantae; Streptophyta; Magnoliopsida; Solanales; Solanaceae.
AAAUAAAAUUAUGUAAAGAAGAAAAAGUUAAAUCAAAACUUCAAACUUCCAUUUUUUAUAUGUAUUCAUGCUUCUAUAUUUUUCAGCUAAAAAUAGCCAGUGUUAUAGUCAUGUACCUGGUAUUAGAAACAAGAGAAUAGGAAGAUGAGAAUCAGCAGCAGUAGUAACAACACAACAACAGAAAAGCAACAACAGCAACAGCUAAAUCAGCAACAGAUUUCAACAACACCCAGUAAAAUCAAAUAAGAAAACACCAACAGAAAUGGACUCUAACUCACAGUAAUAUCCACACAAGCCAAAUGAACUCAAAGACAUACUAGAGUUACUUAAGGUCAGUCUUAGUGUAUUUGCAUCAAGAGAAAUGAAAUCAACGAAGCAAAAAGAGAAACUUCAAAUAAACAGUGGGAUUUUCAGCUCUCUAAUUUUUUUUAACUCUCAAUUCUUUUCUUAUUCUCUGUUUUUGUCUCCUCGUAAGUUCUGAAAUUUUUUAUCUCUACAAUUCCGUCAUCCUCUAAGUGUCAAAUGACCUUCUUUUAUACCCAAAGGUAAGAGUCGUUCUUUACUUUUUACCUAUUUUCUUUUUACUUUUAAACUAUUAUUACUAACCCUUUUACCUAUUUUACUUUUCAGCCUUAUAUUUUUCUAACUAUGUGACUUUUUAACUUUUUCAAUGGUCAAAGACAAACUUUUAUUAUUACCCCUCUUUACUUUACAUCAUUAUGUCUUGUUCCCCACCACCACUUAAAUAAAUUUAUUAGAUUCCCACUACCAUAUGUAUUAUUCCCCACUUUAAUAUUUUAAUCAUACUUUUGCAUCUAGUGGAUAAAGCACUCAACAUAAAUAAUUUAACAAGUUGUCAAUUCUCGUAUUACCCCUAAAAUUGUUAAAAUUACUAUUCUACCCUCAUUCCUUUCAAUCUGUACCAAGAACGUGUUAGCUAUAACCAAUUUUCCUAAUCAAAAUCUACACUGAUUCUUGAUUAAUCAAUCUGGUUGAAUAUGAACCAAAAACAACAUUAAUAUUAAACAGAAACUCAACAGAACACUUAAGCUGAAGCUAAAAAAAUCACCUUAAUUCUAAGCAUCAAACUCAACAGAACAUCAUUAUGCUUCAAAUCGCUAAACUCAACAACACUUUAAACUUGAACUCAAAACAGUAUCACAACAAAAGAUGAAGGAUUCAAUGAUUCGGAACAACAAAUCUAAAGUAAAGUUAUACAAAAAUGAAUGAGCACUAUAAAUUCACUAAAUCGAAAACAAGAGAGAUUCAAAACGAAGCUAAAGCAUGGUAAGAUAAUGAACACAAAAUGAAACACAAGCCAUAAACUCUAAAUCUUUACAGAACUAUUAAAAUAGAGCCGAACUAACAAAACAAUGAAGAUGAAGGACCGACCUGAAGAAGCUUUUCGAUUAAACUGAAAUGAAGCAAAAUCUCAAGAACAACGACUCAAAAUAAAGAGGCUGAUCGUAACUUCGAACAAGUUCCAACGCGAACAGAUUUAAGAUUCUCCUCCAUUGAAAAAUAAAGACACAAAACUUCGAAAUUCAAACGACUUCUAAAACAAACCAGAUGCCAGUUUGCCAACUUCCGGCGAGUUGUUGUGGACUAGAAGAGGCAUAAACAGUGAUGGGUGAAGUGGUCGCUAGUUGUGUGUUCGUGUGAGGAGUAUGGUGUGAGGGGGGACGAGACAAUGGUGGUGAUCUGGAGGAUGACGUGGUCGCCUGGUUGCUGGAAUGACGGGCUGGUUGUCGUCAUUUUGGACGCAACACUAUGGGUGAUCGAUGGGCUAGGUCGUUUGGCGUGGAAGGUUGCUCGUGAAGGGUGCUGGAGGUUUGGUUAAGGACGUGAGGCGACGAACAGAGAUGGCUGAAGGUUUUUUCCGACAGGUCUUGGAGGUGGUUCACUGGUGGUUAUGAGGACGGACUGCUAGAGUUUUUGGUUAGGGAGAUGGAGGAAGAAGAUGAUGAAUAGUGGGGAAUGGCGGCAGAUCUAAGCUGGAGAGAGUUAGAGAGUCUUUAGGUUUUUUG